Molecule: long non-coding RNA, 15819 nt
Filed under: Triticum aestivum (bread wheat)
Lineage: Eukaryota; Viridiplantae; Streptophyta; Magnoliopsida; Poales; Poaceae
Description: long non-coding RNA (TAES_LNC009158)
Source: RNAcentral
ACACACAAAGCACAGCAGGUGCAACACUAGCUGCAAGCACAAGAAGUAGGCAGCAAUGGCGAGGCAUCGCCUCCUCGCCGUGCUCCUCAUCGGGAUAGUUGCAGCCUUCGCCUUCAACCAAGCAGCUGCGGCUGGCCGAGGCCUUGCUGCCGUCGAGAAGUUUGCAGAGCUAGAGCCAAAGCCAGAAUCCAAACCAGAGCCAAUGGCCAAACCUAUGCCACACCCAGAGCCAGAGCCUUGCAAACCUGAACCGAUGCCCAAACCCAAACCAAAGCCCGAACCAAAGCCCGGACAGAAGCCCGAACCAGAACCCAAGCCCAAGCCGAUGCCAAAACCAAAGCCCAACCCCUGCUCCAAACCAAAGCCAGGUCCUAAGCCCGAGCCAAUGCCGAAACCCGAACCAAAGCCGGAGCCCAAGCCUAAACCUGAACCGAAACCGAAGCCGCCUCCUAAGUGCAAACCACCGACAGCUCACAGUUGAUGGGAUACUUAUAUACGACAGUUCAUGGAGGAGACCCCAUACGAAGCCACACUAUGCUAUUUCUAGAAUAAGUGGUGUAAUAUUCCCUGUAUUCCAGUUAUUUCUAUUGUUCCAUGCAUGUGUGAUGAGUAUUAGUACUCUGUAUUUUUUUUUGCUUGUUGGUAUAUGUUCAUCUACUUUGUAUGUGACUCGACUCCUUGUUCUUCUGACUAUCUACGCAUGAUUGUAUUCAUUCACAUGAAUGAGCUAUUUUGUCAAUGAACUGUAGCCUGUCUUCUCUAUGGUGUGCGUGUACGUGUCUGGUGUUCUAGAUGUAUAAAGUGUACUCAUACGCCAGACAGCGGCCUUGUUCUCUUCCCUUCACCUAUGAACUAAAUCCCGACCGAGUGCGUUAGUAUAUAUGCCCAAGCUCUGUGAGUGAGCUAGCUCCGCUGCUGGUUAUACUAGGUAAACGUCACACACAUUGCUACGAAAGUUUAUCUAUACCCCUAUAUAGUAUGCGAAUAACUUUAAAAGUUGGUCGUUGGAUGAAGCCAAUCCGACGGUACAGAGAUGGCAAAUCCGAGCACUACUGGUCGUUGGAUAUCAUUUACAUUCCACCAAAUUCUGUCACAUGUACAAUCUAGAAGACUUCAUGGUUGAACUUAAGCAUAAUGCACAAACCUCAAAACACAAGCACUUCUCUUUUGUUCUAUAGAAUCUUCCAUAUCUUAAUUGCCCAAACUUUUUUUUCUAAAUGAAUUGUCACUUUUUGUUUUUACUUUAUGCUUUACAAUGCACAAUUUCAUGAAUCUUAAAAUAGAUUUUUUUUAUAAAACUAAUUGAUUUUAGAAGAGACGAACUAUAAGAAUUAAACGAACAUCUACAUCAUGCAUAUAUGACUCAAAGAUUACAUGCUAUAUUGUGGUAUUUAUUCAUAGUUUGGUUACCAAAUCUCCUGCGUGCAAUGUGCGUGUACCUUACUAGUAGCAAAGAAAUUAUGAAAAAUAGCAUAUAUGGGAAUAAUACCACACAACAUUCUCACCAUAUGACGAUAGAAAACCUCAUUAAAAGGCAAAGGGGUUGCUUGCCCGACACCCUCUACACUCUUUUCUCGACCGUUUUUUUUCUGGGUUUGCUCUAUUAUUCAAUGAAAGAAACCUUUCACCGGUUUUCUAAAUUUAAAACAUUCAUGAAUAUGAAAAUGUUCACAAAUUAGCAGAAUACAGGUUUGAAAAAAUUAAAUUAAUUCAAAAACAUUGAAGACUUCAAAAAAUCAAAAAUUCUUUUUUUUUUGAAUUUGAGAAAAGUGAAUUAAAAAAAGAUUGUAAAUUUAAAAAUAAAACUUGCGAAUAUGAAAAAAUGUUCAAAAAUUGAAAAAAUGUUCAUGAAGUUUAAAAUAAAAAUAAAAAAUCCAACAAAAAACUGAAACAAGGCAGAAAAGUAAAAAGAAAAACCUGGCCGAAUUUUCCAGAACCAAAGUUCACCCAUAAGUUCUGGAAGCUUCUGGGAGUGAGCUUCCGCUCACGUAAGCGCCUUUUACGAUCUAUCAAAGGAAGAGGUGUGUGCACUUUCUACCAAUAACUUAGAAACCAGUGCUAAAUAACAUAUUUCCACUUUUAACGAGGGGUAGAACGGAAUUCGACUACAGAGCCACGAUAUGUGCCAAUCCCAACAUUUUUUUUCUAGCAAACACGUUUUUUCUAUAGGGGCACACGUCUCACCGCCAACGAACGGGUUUUUUUGUUUUUAUUUCCAUUUUUUCUCAUUUUCGAGAAAAAUUUAUAUAAAAUAUAUGGAUUUGUACUUUUUUUACAAGUGAUCAUGUAGUUUAAUAAGUGUUCAUGUACUUAAAAAAUGUUCAUCGCUUAUUUGUAAAAUGUUUUCAAAAUAUCAAACAUUUUGCAAAUACACAUAAAAUUAAUUUUUCCAAAAAUACACACUGUGAACAUUCUGAACAAUACAGGAUGAAGAUUUCUUUUAAUACAUGAUGAACCAUAGAAAUAACAAUAUUUUCUGAAAAUACAAAAUGAUUUUUUUAAUCCGUGGUAAUUUUUAUAUACACAGUAAGUAUUUUGUUCAUACAUGAUGAAUAUUUUGUAAAAACAUGAGUGAACAUUGCCCGACGCCGGUGAGGGAGGGGCGAUGAUGGUUGUGCAUUUUCAGCUUGAUCGAGUGAUUUUAUACAUCACUAGAUGGUCUAUGAACCUGAAUGUAUGUUCUGUUACUUCUGAUGUUCUUAUACUGACAUGGCAGUUGAUAAAUAGAUCUAAAGAAUUUUGUAAAACAAUAAGAUAAAUGUUCAACUUGUCUUAAUAAUUGUUCCUGAGAUUUAAAAAAUAUAUUCACAUUGUUCCGAAAACCAGUACAUUUCAAAAAGAAUCAUAUGUUUAGAAAAUUGUUCAUGGCAAUAUUAAAAAUGUUCAGGAAAUAUAAAAAAUGUUUUAUUACAGUUUAUAAAAAUACUUGUGGUAUAUAAAAAUUGUUCAUCAUGUUUUAUAAAACGUACAAACAUGUAUUGGAAAAAUAUUCUAUGUGUAUUAAAAAAAUGAUUAAUAUUUUGAAAACAAUCAACGUGUAUUUGAAAUACGGAAAAUGAAAAACAAAACAUGAAAAAAAGAACAGAAAAGUAAAAUAAGAAAACAAAAAUGAAAAACCUAAACAAACCAGAUAAAGAAAACAGAAAACAAUUUGGAUAAAACGUUCUGAAAAUCGCAUGAAACAAACCAAUGCUACACUGCCUCCACCGCUACUGGGCCACAGCCCGCACCGCAUCACCAAAGGUGAGCGCCUCGCGGUAUGUAGAGACAUAGCAUUUGCGCAAAACGACCGCACGCAUUGAACAAACUGUUGGCUAGCUAGUUUAGCUAGUUAUUAGAAUGACUUGUAACUUUAUUCAAACUCAACCAAAUUGUAGGUACAAUGCUUUGGAUCAUAGAUACGAGAGAUUGCAAAAUAACUUCUAUAACUAAGAAUUACAAUGAAACCCUCUUGAGUAAAAAUAUGAUAAACGAAAAAAAAAAACAUUACUCCCUCUGUACCACAAUAUAAGACGUUUUUGCAAGCUAGUUUAGCUUGCAAAAACAUCUUAUAUAUAUUGUGGGACGGAGGGAGUAGCUCAUAUAAUCCUCACUCCUUCCGAAUAUAUGGCGGUGCUAAACUCGGCAACCCCAUUCGUUUUAGAGCUCCGGCGUGGUGAAGCUCACGCACGAGGUGCACGGUCCGGCCAGUUCCUUUCCAGAGACCUUUGCUUUCCAUUGUGAAUGAACUGAUCAACUGAAGCGUUUGCUUUGUACACUUUGUAUUGCAUUGCGCUAACGUGUACACGGUCCAUCUUGAUUUCUAAAUGAUGGCCGGUCACAUGGACGUGUGAGCACGGGAUUGACAAGGCAACUAACACAAUUCUAUUACUACGAGGAGGCAACUAACAGAGUAAAAAUAUUGCUACUCACCCUACUAUCAUCACAGAGACACACGCAAAAUCCAGCUCUGCUUAUUAACACCUCUACCUACGUAGUACUAGGUUGCUUCAUUUGUAAUUAACCAAUAUAGCUCCAUUGCCAUGUUACGCAGCGAGUAAAUAAACAUUACUCCCUCUGUUCUGAUUUACUCGUCAUGGUUUUAGUUCAAAUUUAAACUAAAACCACAGCGAGUAAAUCAGAACGGAGGAAGUACUUAUCAGUCCAGCUAACUAGCUGCAAUCCUAAUUAAUGCAGCCUUCGGAUCUGCUUUGUUUCACCCAGCCUAUAAAACCACACAAUAUGUACCUCCAGUUCUGCACACAACACACACGCGCGCACACACACAAAGCACAGCAGCUAGCUGCAAGCACAAGAAGGAGGCAGCAAUGGCGAGGCAUCGCCUCCUUGCCGUGCUCCUCAUCGGGAUAGUUGCAGCCUCCGCCUUCAACCAAGCAGCUGCGGCUGGCCGAGGCCUUGCUGUCGUCGAGAAAUUUGCAGAGCUAGAGCCAAAGCCAGAACCCAAACCAGAGCCAAUGCCCAAACCUAUGCCACACACAGAGCCAGAGCCAUGCAAACCUGAACCGACGCCCAAACCCAAACAAAAGCCCGGACAGAAGCCUGAACCAAAACCCAAGCCCAAACCGAUGCCAAAACCGAAGCCCGAGCCGUGCUCCAAACCAAAGCCGGGGCCUAAGCCUGAGCCGAUGCCAAAACCCGAACCAAAGCCAGAGCCCAAGCCUGAACCUGAACCGAAACCGAAGCCGCCUUCAAAGUGCAAACCACCGACAACUCACAAUUGAUGGGAUACUUAUAUAUGAGAGUAGUUGGAGGAGACCCCGCACGGAGCCACAAUGUGCUAUUUCUAGAAUAAGUGGUGUAGUAUUCCCUGUAUUCCAUUUCUUUUUAUUUUUCCAUGCGCGCGUGAUGAGUACUAGUACUCUGUAAUUACUAUUUGGUUGUUGGUAUAUGUUCAUCUACUUUGUAUAUGACUCGACUCAUUGUUCUUUUGAGUAUCUACGCAUGAUUGUAUUCAUUCACAUGAAUUAGCUAUUUUGUUAGAGGACUGCAGUCUAUGUUUUUUUUGUAUGGGUUGCAAUCUCGGUUAUUUUCUCUAUGGGAUUGUUUCAUAUUAUGUGGUCUUUUUNNNNNNNNNNNNNNNNNNNNNNNNNNNNNNNNNNNNNNNNNNNNNNNNNNNNNNNNNNNNNNNNNNNNNNNNNNNNNNNNNNNNNNNNNNNNNNNNNNNNNNNNNNNNNNNNNNNNNNNNNNNNNNNNNNNNNNNNNNNNNNNNNNNNNNNNNNNNNNNNNNNNNNNNNNNNNNNNNNNNNNNNNNNNNNNNNNNNNNNNNNNNNNNNNNNNNNNNNNNNNNNNNNNNNNNNNNNNNNNNNNNNNNNNNNNNNNNNNNNNNNNNNNNNNNNNNNNNNNNNNNNNNNNNNNNNNNNNNNNNNNNNNNNNNNNNNNNNNNNNNNNNNNNNNNNNNNNNNNNNNNNNNNNNNNNNNNNNNNNNNNNNNNNNNNNNNNNNGAAGAGAAGGCCUCCCUAAAUUGCAGCACACAUAUGAAAUGUAUAUAGUAUGCGCGUAUGUGUCUGGUGUUCUAGAUGUAUAAAGUGUACUCACACGCCACACAGCGGUUUUGUUCUCUACCCUUCGCCUAUGAACUAAGUCCCGACCAGGUGCGUUAGUAUUUAUACCCAGGCUCUAUGAGUGAGCUGGCUCCAUUGCUAGUUAUACUAGGUAAACGUCACAUACAUUGCUACGGAAAUUUAUAGCAAUGAAAUUUAAAAAAAUACCAUAUAUGUGAAUAAUACUACACAACAUUCUCAACAUAUGACAAUAGAAAACCUAGAUGUAACUGGAGGGUGGAUGCAUGUUAUAUUGUCUUGCAACCUUCAAGUUUAAUUAUUUGUUGUUGAAAGAUAAUAAAUAGUAAAAAAAUAAUAAGGUUAACAGCUUGCGUGUGUUUGAUUAUGUAGAGGGCUUGCAUAUGAUGGAAAGUGAAAAGUCUAAUGAUUACAUGCACCCUUGAUGAUGUAGAGGACUUGCAUGUGAUGAAAAAUGGUAAGUGAAAGUUGAUUGGUUGCAUGUCCUUCAUGAUGUGAUUAAUUUGCAUGUGCAUUUAGACUUACUUAGAUAUAUAGGAUAUGUGUGUGAAAGGUAACUGCACCCCCUGGUCAAGAUUAGUGGCGGAGCUACCCAAAAAUUGUUGGGCAGGUCAAGGUGGCCCAUCCUAAAGGAAACACGUUUUUCUCUCUCAAAAGGCCCAAGUUUACCUAUACUUGGCUAUGGGCUGGGCCGGCUAUGGCCCAUCUGGCCUUGUUGUAGCUCCAACAGUGGUCAAGACUAUCAAGAAAAGGCACCAUGAAAAUUAUAAUAACAGAUUUUCUCUUACUCAAUUCGCAACAAGAAAAAUCUCCCAGUGAUAGUGCUACGCAACAUUCGAGAGACCAUAAUAAUCUCUCACCCAUCCCAUGGUGCUGGCAGGGUCAACUCUAUAAUUUUGAGAGCGCUUGUGUGAAAUUGGCAAAUUGAUAGUCUUUUUCUUUUCUUUAUUGCGCAUGAAAACUCCUUUUAAGCAACAUUAUAGUAACCCUAAAACUGACAAGGAAAGUAAAUAAAGUACAUAAGUAGAAUUUUAGAAAUCAGAGCACUAACAUUUAACAUGCUUCGACGAAUGGGUGGCUCUGGUAAUAUGGCUAUGGGUACGAGGAAUGAGAGGCCUAGAGUGACAAGCUCAUGCUUCGCUGUCACAGAUGUCUGAGGAGGAGGCGAGACGCUCACGUCACCAAGCUACGAGACAAACCUGUGAAGAUGAAAAUCACGAAUUACAAUUAGGAGAACUGGUGACGCCAUGUGUCCGUGUCGCACGCCGAUUAUGAUUCUUUUCCUUUUUAUGGACCAGUUCAACCAACGGCUAAAGGCCUAAAGCUUGCUUCUUGGAGAGCGUGUAUACCUCAAUUUUAGGAAAGCUCCUUCUCAGUGCUUAUAGUGCUCAUUAGUGCCGCAGCGCACAAGAGCUCGCGCGCAUGGGUCAUCGCAUUAAAAGGCAAAGCGGUUGCUUGCUUGGCCACCCACUACACACUUUUUUUGCAAGCCUUUUUUUAAGGAUUCUCUGUUAUUCAAUGAAAAAAAUCCCACCGGUUUUCUAAAUUUAAAAAUUCAUGAAUAUGAAAAUUUUCAAAAAUUUGAAAAACAAUUACAGUUUGAAGAGAAUGAAUUGAAAAUUUUUGAAAAUUUUAAAAAAAAUCACAAAUUCAUUUUUUGUGAAUUUGAAAAAAGGUGAUUCAAAAAAGUUUGUGAAAUUUGAAAAAAAUCUCAUGAAUAUGAAAAAAUGGUCACAAAAUUGAAAAACUUCAAAAAUUUGAAAAAAAUGUUAGAGAAGUUUAAAAAUAAAAUAAUUAGAAAAAGAGAAAAAAAAAGGCAGAAGAGUAAAAAAGAAAAAUCAGGAUGAAAGUUUCCAUAACCAAAGUUGGCCCAUAAGCUUCUGGAAGCUUCCUAAAACCGACGGGAGGGAGCUUCUGCUCAUGUAAAUGCCAUAGAUUGGGCAGCCCUUUUACAAUCUAUUGAAGCAAGAGGUGCAUGCGCUUUUUAUCAAUAACUUGGAAACCAAUGGUAAAUAGCAUAUCUCCACUUUUAGCGCGGCGUAGAACGGAAUUCGACUACAGAUCCACAGUAUGGGCCAAUCCCAACAUGUUUUUCUAACAAGCUACUUUUUCUAUUGGGGCAGAUGUCUCACUCUAACGAGUAGGAUUUUUUUGUUCUUAUUUUCACAUUUUUCUUUUCAUUUUUUCUAAUUUUCUAGAAAACGCUCUAUAACAUAUAUGGGUGAUCAUAUAAUUUAAUAAGUUUUCAUGUACUUUAAAAAUGUUCAUCACCUAUUUAUAAAACGUUUUCAAAAUAUGAAACAUUUUUAAAAUACAAUUACAAUUACAAAAAGUGUUCAUAUUUUUCUGAAAAUAUACACUAUGAACAUUUUGAACAAUACGGAUGAAGAUUUAUUUUAAUACAUGAUGAACCUUUGUAAUCACAAUAUUUUCUAAAAAUACACAAAGAUUUUUAUAUACACAAUAAAUAUGUUGUUCAUACACGAUGAACAUUUUGUAAAAACAUGAGUGAACAUUGCCCAACUCCGAUGAGGAAGGGGCAAUGAUGGUAGUACCCCUUCGGCUUGCUCGACUGAUUGUAGACAUCGCUAGGUGGUCUAUGGACCUGAACAUAAGUUCUAUUACCUCUGGUGUUCUUGUAUUGACAUGAUGGUUGAUAAGUAGAUCGGAUUUUUUCGAUAUUUUUUUAAGAAAAAUGUUCAACUUGUCUUACAAAUUGUUCCGAAGAUUAAGAAAAAUAUAUUCGCAUUUUUUAAAAAGAACAUUGCAUUUCAAUUUUUUCACAUGUUUAGAAAUUGUUCAUGGCAAUAUUGAAAUAUAAAAAAUGUGUUAUUACAGUUUUGGAAAAAUGUUUGUGGUAUAUAAAAAUUGUUCAUCAUGUAUUUAUAAAACAAUCAAACUUGUAUUAAAAAAUAUUAUAUGUAUAUUUUAAAAAUGUUUAUUAUUUUUAAUAUUUUCAAUAUGUAUUUGAAAAUAGGAAAAUGAAAAACAAAACAUGAAGCAAUGAACAGGAAAAGUAAAAGAGAAACCAAAAAUGAAAAACCUAAACAAACCCAAUAAAGAAAACCCAGACAAAACGUUAUGAGAUCACAAGAAACAAACAAAUGCUACACACCUCCACCACUACUGGGCCACAGCCCACACCGCAUCGCCAGAGGUGAGCGCCUCGCGGUAGGCAGAGACAUAGCAUUUGCGUAAAAUGACCGCACGAAUUGAACAAACUGUCGGCUAGCUAGUUAUUAGAAAGACAUGUAACUUAAUUCAAACUCAACAAAAUUAUAGGUACAAUGCUUUGGAUCAUAGAUACAAGAAAUUAUAAAAUAACUCAUAUAACUAAGAAUUACAAUGAAACCCUCUUGAGUCAAAAUAUGAUAAACAGAGGAAAAAACAUUAGCACAUAUAAUCUUUACUCUAUCCGAAUAUAUGGCGGUGCUAAACUCAGCAACCCCAUUAGUUUUGGAGCUCCGGUUUCAUGGAGCCUUUUUUGGAAAAUCAUACAUUAAUAACUAAAACACGCGCGUGCAUGAGACUGGAGAAUGAGGGGCAUGCAACAUCAAAAUAGGUUAGUUUGUCGGAAUUAUAAGAUUUAAUAAUUUGAGACAAUAUGCAUAAUAAAACCCUCACUAGUGCAGUGUCGAAAACGCUCUUAUAUUGUGGGAUGGAGGAGUACAAUUUUGAAACUGUGCCCAGUAUAUCGGGCCAGAGGGAGAGCUUGAGAAAACACUGAGUCAGCGAAAACUCAGGUGUACGAAGCAGACCAUGGAGCCUUGGGGCUUCUUAACAGGUGGUCCUCACGCACGAGGUGGCUGCACAAUUGGGCCAGUUCCUUACCGGAGACCUUUCCUUUCCAUUCAUUGUGAAUUGAACUGAAGCGAUUGCUUUUUACUUUGUAUUGCAUUGCACAAACGUGUACACUGUCUAUCUUAAUUUCUAAAUGAUGGCCGGUCACAUGGACGUGUGAGCACGGGAUUGACAAGGCAACUAACACAAUUCUACUACUACGAGGAGGCAACUGAUAAUAUUGUUACUCACCCUACUAUCAUCAGAUGGAGACACACAAACAUAAUCCACUGGACAAGGCAACUAACAUAAUUUCUAUUACCACGAGGUUGCAACUAAUAGAGUAAAAAUAUUGUUACUCACAUGUACUAUCAUCAAAGAGACACACACGCAGAAUCCAGCUGUGCGUAUUAACACCUCUAGCUACCUCCGUAGGUCGCUUCAUUUGUAAUCAACUAAUCAACCAAUAUAACUCCAUUGACAUGUUACCCAGUACUACUUGUCACUCCAGCUACCUAGCUGCAAUUCUAAUUAAUGCACCCUCCAGAUCUGUUUUGUUUCACCCAGCCUAUAAAACCACACAGUAUGUAUCUCCAGCUCUCCACACAACACACACGCGCGCACACACAAAGCGCAGCAGGUUCAACACUAGCUACAAUCACAAGUAGGCAGCAAUGGCGAGGCAUCGCCUCCUCGCCGUGCUCCUCAUCGGCAUAGUUGCAGCCUCCGCCUUCAACCAAGCAGCUGUGGCUGGCCGAGGCCUUGCUGCCAUCGAGAAGUUUGCAGAGCUAGAGCCAAAGCCAGAACCUAAACAAGAGCUAAUGCCCAAACCUAUGCCACACACAGAGCCAGAGCCAUGCAAACCUGAACCGACGCCCAAACCCAAACCAAAGCCCGAACAAAAGCCUGGACAUAAGCCUGAGCCAGAACCCAAGCCCAAGCCGAUGCCAAAACCGAAGCCCGAGCCCUGCUCCAAACCAAAGCUGGUGCCAAAACCCGAACCAAAGCCAGAGCCCAAGCCUGAACCUGAACCGAAACCGAAGCCGCCUCCAAAGUGCAAACCACCGACAACGCACAAUUGAUGGGAUGCUUAUAUAUGAGAGUUGAUGGAGGAGACCCCGCACGGAGCCACACUGUGCUAUUUCUAGAAUAAGUGGUGUAGUACUCCUUGUAUUCCAUUUCUUUCUAUUUUUCCAUGCAGAGUACGUACUAGUACUCUGUAAUUACUAUUUGCUUGUUGGUAUAUGUUCAUCUACUUUGUAUGUGACUGACUCGUUGUUCUUUUGAGUAUCUACGCAUGAUUGUAUUCAUUCACAUCAAUGAGCUAUUUCGUUAGUGGACUGCAGUCUAUGUUGUUUUCUCUAUGGGGUUGUUUCAUAUUAUGUGGUCUUUUUUGGGGGGAAAGACGAUGUCAACAAAAAAGAAGAAAAUGACUCCCUAAAUAGCAGCACACAUAUGAAGUGUAUAGUGUGCGCGUACGUGCCUGGUGUUCUAGAUGUAUAAAGUGUACUCACACGCAAGACAACAGCCUUGUUCUCUACCCUUCACCUAUGAGCUAAGUCCCGACCGUGUGCGUUAGUAUUUAUGCCCAGGCUGACUCCGCUGCUGGUUAUACUAGCUAAACUUUGCACACAUUGCUACGAAAAUUUAUAGCAAUGAAAUUUUGAAAACUAGCAUAUAUGGGGAUAAUACUACACAACAUUCUCACCAUAUGUCAAUGAAAACCUACAUGUAAUGGAGGGUGGAUGCAUUUUAUAUUGUCUUGUGACCUUAUAGUUUAAUUAUUUCUUGCUGAACAUAAAUAGUAAAAAAUAAUGAGGUGAAGAGCUUUCAUGUGUUUGAUGAUGUGGAGGACUUGCAUAUGAUGAAAAGUGAAAAGUUGAAUGAUUACAUGCACGCUUGAUGAUAUGGAGGACUUGCCUGUGAUGAAAAGUGGUAAGUGAAAGUUUAUUGGCUGCAUGCCCUUCAUAAUGUGAUUGACAUGCAUGUGUAUUUAAAUGGGAUGACUUACUUAGAUACUAUAUAGGAUAUGUUUGAAAGAUAACUACACCCCCUAGGUCAAGAUUACCAAGAAAAACACCAUGGAAAUUAUUAUUAAUAGAUUUUCUCUUACUCAAUUCGCAACAAGAAAAAACACUCAACGACAAUGCUAUGCAACAUAAGAGAGACCACAAUAAUCUCUCACCCACCCCAUGGUACUGCCAGGGUAGGCUCUAUGAUUUUAAGAGCCCUUGGGUGAAGUUGGCGAAUUGAUCAUCCUUAUUUUUUCCUUUUUCAACACUCAACAAAUCUUUUUUAAGAAACAUUAUAGUAACCCUAAAACUGACGAGGAAAGUAAAUACAUAAAUUGAACUUUGAAAUUAGAGGUCUAACAUUUAACAUGCUUCGAGGAAUGGGUGGCACUGAUAAUAUGGCUAUGGAUGCAUGCAAUGAGAGAUCUAGAGAGUGACAAGCUCGUGCCUUGUUGUCCUUGACGUAUGAGGAGGCGGCGAGACUCACGUCGUCAAGCUUCGAGACAAACCUGCAACGACGAAGAUCGUGAAUUGCAAUAAGGAGAACUGGUGAUGCCAUGUGUCCAUGUCGCAUACCGAUUGUGAUUCUUUUCCUUUUGAUGGACUAGUUCAACCAACGGCUAAAAGCCUAAAGCUUGCUUUUAGGAGAGCGUGUAUACCUCACUUUUAGUAGAGCUCCUUCUCAACGCUUAUAGCGCUCGCUGCAGCGCACAUGUGCUCGUGCAAAUGGGUCUUCCCAUUAAUUGGUAAAGCAGUUGCUCGCCCGACCGCCCACUACACUCCUUUUUUGCCGCCUUCUUUUCCUGGUAUUGCUCUAUAUAUUAUUCAAUGAAAGAAAACUUCCACCGGGUUUACAAAUUUAAAAAAAUCAUGAAUAUGAAAAGGUUCACAAAUGUGAAAAAAUACGGAUUUGAAAAUAUAAUUUAUUCAAAAACAUGGACAACUUCUAAAAAAUCACAAAUUCAUUUUUUGCGAAUUCGAAAAGGUGAAUUAAAAAAUUGUAAUUUCAAAAAACUCGCAAAUAUGAAAAAAUGUUCACAAAAUAAAGAGUUCAUGAAUUUAAAAAUAAUAAAAGAAUGCAAACAGAAAAGAGAAACAAGGCGGAAAAGUAAAAAAGAAAAACCAGGCAGAAAGUUUACAGAACCAAAGUUGACCCAUAAGCUUUUGGAAAAUUCCUAAAAACGGGAGGGAGCUUCCGCUCACGUAAACCCCAUAGAUUGGCCACCCCUUAUACGAUCUAUUGAAGGAAGAGGUGUAUGCGCUUUCUACCAAUAACUUAGACACUAGUGCUAAAUAGCAUAUUUCCACUUUUAGCGAGGGGUAGAACGAAAUUUGACUAUAAAGCCACGGCAUGGGCCAAUCGCAACAUUUUCUUUCUAACAAACAAGAUUUUUCUAUAGGGGCACACGUCUCACUCUAAUGAGCGUGUUUUUUUCAUUCUUAUUUUCACUUUUUUUUCUCAUUUUCUAGAAAACGUUCUAUAAAAUAUAUGGGUUUGUACUUUUGGUAAGUGAUCAUGUAGUUUAAUAAGUGUAAAUGUACUUAAAAAUGCUCAUCAUGUAUUUAUAAAACAUUUUCAAAAAAAUCAAACAUUUUUCAAAUACACAUAGAACUGAAAAGUGUUCAAAUAUUUUCCGAAAAUAUACACUGUGAACAUUUUGAACAAUAUAGGAUGAAGAUUUCUUUCAAUACAUGAUGAACCUUUCAAAUAACAAUAUUUUUCUAAAAUUGCACAAUGAUUUUUUUAAAUCCAUGAUAAUGUUUAAAUAUACAAUAUUAUUUUCAUACACGACGAACAUUUUGAAAAAACAUGAGUGAGCAUUGCCCAACUCCCAUGAGGGAGGGGCGAUGAUCGUGGUGCACUUUCGGCUUGGUCGAGUGAUUGUAGACAUCGCUAGGUGGUCUAUGGAACUGGAUGUAAGUUAUGUUACUUCAGGUGUUCUUAUACUGACAUGAUAGUUGAUAAAUAGAUCGAAAGUUUUUUUUUGUAAAAAAUAAAAGAAACAUUUCGAACUUGUCUUAAAAAUUGUUCCUGAGAUUUUGAAAAUAUAUUUGCCUUGUUCCAAAAAAUUACAUUUUCAUUUUUCACAUGUUUAGAAAAUUGUUCAUGGCAAUACUAAAAAUGUUUCAUUAUAAAAAAAGUUCUUACAUUUUUUAUAAAAAUGUUCAUAGUAUAUCAAAAAAUUUCAUCAUGUAUUUAUAAAACGUUCAAAUAUGUAUUGGAAAAAUAUUAUAUGUGUAUUUUUAAAAAUAUUUUGAAAAAAAAUCAGCAUGUAUUUGAAAUAUGGAAAAAUGAAAAAGAAAAUACAAAACAAAACAUGAAAUAAAUGAAGAAAAGUAAAAGGGGUAUGAAAAUGAAAAACCUAAAGAAACGCGAUAAAGAAACCAGAAGAAAAAACCCAAACAGAAUGUUUCAAAAAUCGCACGAAACGAACCAAUGCUACGCCUCCACCGCGACUGGGCCACAGCCCGCACACCAUUGCCAGAGGUGAGGGCCGCAUUUGCGCAAAAUGACCGCACACAUUGAACAAACUGUCAGCUAGCUAGUUAUUAGAAUGACAUGUAACUUUAUUCAAACUCAACAAAGUUACAGGUACAAUGCUUUGAUCAUGCAUACAAGAAAUUAUAAAAUAAUUCCUAUAACUAAGAAUUACGAUGCAACCCUCUUGAGUAAAAGUAUGACAAACGGAGGAAAAAAAUAUUAGCACAAUAUAAUCCUUGCUCUAUCCGAAUAUAUGGCGGUACAAAACUCAGCAACCCCGUUCGUUUUGGAGCUCCGGCUCCAUGAGGCCUUUUUUGGAAAAUCAGACAUGCAUAACUAAAACAUACGUGAUCUAACAUAUCUUAUAUUAGUUUACAGAGGGAGUACAUGCAUAAGUAAAACAUACGCAUGCAUGAGACUGGAGAAUGAGGGGCAUGCAUCGUCAAAAUAGGGUAGUUUGUCGGACAGUUAUAAGAUUUAAUAAUUUGGGGCAAUAAGCAUGAUAAAUCCUCAUUGGUAUCUAUAAUUUUGAAACUGUGCCCAGUAUACCGGGCCAGAGGGAGUGCUUGAGAAACACUUUUUACAAAAAGAAGGAUAACCCCUGAUCUAUGCAUAAGCAAUGCACACAGCCACUUUUAUUAUAUUAUUCAACAAAAUCUGACAAAACUAGUACAUGGACAACAUAAAGCCAUCUUCAUGGCAACCACUUGAGAAAACACUGAGUCCGUGAAAACUCGGUCGACGAAGCAGUCCAGGGAGCCUUGGGGCUUCCAACAGGUGGUGAAGCUCCCGCACAGGGUGUACGAUCGGGCCAAUUCCUUUCCAUUGUGAAUUGAACUGAAGUGAUUGCUUUUUUUUUACUUUGUAUUGCAAUUGCACUAACAUAAUUCUAAUGAUGGACGGUCACAUGGACGUGUGAGCACGGGAUUGACAAGCCAACUAACAUAAUUCUAUUACUACGAGGAUGCAACUAAUAGACUAAAAAUAUUGUUACUCACCCCCGCUGUCAUAACAAAGAGACACACACGCAAAAUCCAGCUGUGCUUAUUAACACCUCUACCUACCUAGGUUGCUUCAUUUGUAAUCAACUAAUCAACGAAUAUAACUCCAUUGACGUGUUAUGCAGUACUCUUUCACUUCAGCUAGCUAGCUGCAAUUCUAAUUAAUGCAGCCUCCAGAUCUGCUUUGUUUCACCAAGCCUAUAAAACCACACAAUAUGUAUCUCCAGUUCUCCACACAACACACACACACACACACACACACACACAAAACACAGCAGGUGCAACACUAGCUAGCUGUAAGCAUAAGAAGUAGGCAGCAAUGGCGAGGCAUCGCCUCCUCGUCGUGCUCCUCAUCGGGAUAGUUGCAGCCUCCGCCUUCAACCAAGCAGCUGCCGCUGGCCGAGGCCUUGCUGUCGUUGAGAAGUUUGCAGAGCUAGAGCCAAAGCCAGAGCCCAAACCAGAACCAAUUCCCAAGCUUACGCCACACCCAGAGCCAGAGCCUUGCAAACCUGAACCAAUGCCCAAACCCAAACCAAAACCCGAACAAAAGCCCGGACAGAAGCCCGAACCAGAACCCAAGCCCAAGCCAAUGCCAAAACCAAAGCCCGAGCCCUGCUCCAAACCAAAGCCAGAUCCUAAGCCCGAGCCGAUGCCGAAACCCGAACCAAAGCCGGAGCCCAAGCCUAAACCUGAACCGAAACCGAAGCCGCCUCCGAAGUGCAAAUCACCGGCAACACACAAUUGAUGGGAUAAUUAUAUAUGACACUUGACGAAGGAGACCUGGAAUGGAGCCACACUGUGUUAUUGUUAGAAUAAGUGGUGUAGUAUUCUCUGUAUUCACUUUCUUUUUAUUGUUCCAUGAGCGCGUGAUGAGUAUUAGAACUCUGUGAUUAUUAUUUUCUUGUUGCUAUAUGUUCAUCUACUUUGUAUGUGACCAGACUCGUUGUUCUUUUGAGUAUAAGUGCAUGAUUGUAUUCAUUCGCAUGAAUGAGCUAUGUUGUCCAGUGGGCUGCAGUCUAUUGUUG